GUUUUUCUAGUAUAAACAGUACAUGUGACUUCCAAUCACUCAGCCCCAACACAGGCCUUGGGGAAAAACA
Molecule: transfer RNA, 70 nt
Filed under: Sphenomorphus incognitus
Lineage: Eukaryota; Metazoa; Chordata; Lepidosauria; Squamata; Scincidae
Description: tRNA-Gly
Source: RNAcentral